Molecule: ribosomal RNA, 450 nt
Filed under: uncultured bacterium
Lineage: Bacteria
Description: partial 16S ribosomal RNA
Rfam family: Bacterial small subunit ribosomal RNA
Source: RNAcentral
GUGGGGAAUAUUGGACAAUGGGCGAAAGCCUGAUCCAGCCAUGCCGCGUGCAGGAAGAAGGCCUUCGGGUUGUAAACUGCUUUUGUACGGAACGAAACGGUCCGGGUUAAUACCCUGGGCUAAUGACGGUACCGUAAGAAUAAGCACCGGCUAACUACGUGCCAGCAGCCGCGGUAAUACGUAGGGUGCAAGCGUUAAUCGGAAUUACUGGGCGUAAAGCGUGCGCAGGCGGUUAUAUAAGACAGAUGUGAAAUCCCCGGGCUCAACCUGGGAACUGCAUUUGUGACUGUAUAGCUAGAGUACGGUAGAGGGGGAUGGAAUUCCGCGUGUAGCAGUGAAAUGCGUAGAGAUCUGGAGGAAUACCGAUGGCGAAGGCAGCCAUCUGGCCUAAUACUGACACUGAGGUGCGAAAGCAUGGGGAGCAAACAGGAUUAGAAACCCCAGUAGUCC